CACAAUGAUCCACACACGCACCGAUGAGCAGAGACUGCUGGGCUGUGUGACGGUCCCCGACUCACAGCUACUGACAGAGGAAGCAUCUAAUUGAUGCCUUAAUGAGAGCAGCUUUUUCUGCCAAGGCUUCCCAGGCAGAAGGAGGGAGCCCAACAAAAUCCCUUCAAACACCGCCCGCCGACAUUCAUACCCUGCUGGCCUGCAUUAAGCUUAGAACUAUUCAGUGUUUCUCCCGCUGAAGUCAAUCAGUUCCACAUAUUUGCCAAGUCUGUCAAAGUAUACACAGCAAUAACAGCCCAGUAACACAUUUCAAAUCUUUGUAGUUACAGCAAUAUUUUGAAGUUAAGCUCAUAUCAAAGCAAUAUAUCCACAGUAGAUUUCCCAAAGCAUGCAAUUCUGUGGUGAUUCUGUGACUGAAUUGCAGUUGCUACACUGGCAGCUCACAGACAAAAUGAGAUGAGGUUAAUUGACUGAGCAACAAACAGAACCAGCAUAUUAGCUCAUUAUUGCUCGUCUUCAGUACGGCCCUGUGCAAACAACUGCUCCCGUGAUUUCUUUACUGUAACACCAAUAUUAGUUUGUCUGAAGACUCAGGAUCUGACCCUACCGUAUUUGUCUCCUGUACAGAGCAGAGCAAACAGGCACUUAACAAAUGGGUCACCUAACACGAACAUAAGAACUUUGCUAAGACUGCAUAAAAUGCAGUGCUGCAGCAGCUGACUCUCUGGUGAAGAAAGAUAAAAGCAGUGCUGCUUGUUCUUUUCCACCCUAUCAUGUCUGUUAACACAAACCAUCUCUUUGCCUUAGAUCUCCUUGCUCUGAGUUGGAAGCUGCUCCAGCAGUCGCACUCAGGAAGGGAAAUGAAGGCCCUGCCCAUCUUGUUCAAAUCGUCACCUUGACAACUUCUCAGACAAAGAGAAAAAUCAAUGAAUUUCAUGCAGUAGUACAGAAAUAACAGACCAGCCAGCAGAUCUGUCGCCUCCCUGCAGGCCGUGCUGACUCCUCAUUUCCUCCAAUAGCUUUUAGAAGCAGCACCAGUGGGCACAGGAAGAGGGCUUUGAUUAAUGCAGCACUGAGCAACAGACCUUCCCCAUGACACAGCCUCAGCCCUCUGCAUCCCUCCCCCACACCAGGGGUUGCUCCUCUCAUUCACAUUUCUACCAUUUGGUGAGCUUAGUUAAAGAACAUCAUGCACUUCUUACCAUCCAAAGACAGCCAGUCAUGCUGGGAGGAAGGCAGGGUUGGCAGAGCUCUGGCUUUGUAUUCAAACACCACAGAAUUGGAGAUGAUCUGAUUGUUGAAGGCAACUUGCAAAGUCACGAGCCCAGUGUCAUGAGCUAAAAGAGAAGAAGGAGCGGUGAGACAGAGACCUCCCUGCAGAAAUGCCCAAGUAGAUCCUGUUGGUGAACUCCCCAUGGGCAGGCUGACAGCAGAUGCAACGAGAGCAGAGGGAGCACUUGGCCAUAUUUUUCUGACUACACAACUGAAGAGUCCAGAAUGUCAAUCUGCAUUUUAAAACAGGCAGGUUUUAAAACCCAUUUAGGAGCCAUACAAUAGGUUACUUUGGCAUGAGGUAGGAUCGCACGUGCCCCAAAAUUAACCGACUUCACAGCAUUUCAAGUAGCAAGCUGGGGCCCAACAAUGAGGAUCGGUUAUUCUGCAUAUAUUGAAAGCCAAGAACUUCCUCUGAAGCCACCAGCUGCAGGAGAGCCAUUCCUUACCUGGGCAGUAGCAGCGCAGUACUCCUGGCUGAAUUAAAGAUGCAGGCACUGAGAUCUGAUCAAACAGACAGCUGUAAUUAUUGCUGGCUUCUUGCCAUGGACCAGUGAUUAGAACUUUCACUCCUCCCUACAAUGAACAGAGGGGAGAAAAGGAAGCAUCAUGAAAAGAGCCCUAUCCAGAGAGGACCUUGCACUGAAAUGGCUGAACAGCAAACAAAAUCACGAGGGCAGAUACAGAUCCUUGGCACCAGUAGCCACCAACAUCCCAGCACUCUGCAGAGCUUGCACAUCUCCGUCCACCUGCCCCACCAGGACUGCUCUGCUCACAGCAGCUGCUGCUGCAGCCUCUGGGACACCUCAUGGUGUGCCCUUCUUUGGCCACCAAACCUUACACUGUAGGAGAAACACAAACAGUAUUCCAUAACAGAGCAUCUCUGUUUCUCUUCA
Gallus gallus (chicken) is the source of this 2168-nucleotide long non-coding RNA. RefSeq lists it as uncharacterized. NCBI's taxonomy places the organism in Eukaryota, Metazoa, Chordata, Aves, Galliformes, Phasianidae. The record is from RefSeq and is a predicted model, not a curated record. The transcript has 2 exons.